Molecule: non-coding RNA, 5415 nt
Organism: Monodelphis domestica (gray short-tailed opossum)
Lineage: Eukaryota; Metazoa; Chordata; Mammalia; Didelphimorphia; Didelphidae
Source: RefSeq, a predicted model, not a curated record
CACUUGGUACUCCUGGAGACCCAAAGGAAUUCGGCCACUUUUACUCUUCGAGGGAACAGCUGGGAGAAUGGCCCUGACGCUUAAGGAGAUAUCAUCUUAGAGGACCUCUUUAAGAGUCAUCAAAGUCUGGUGACAAGACAAAAGCCGAGAUGAGUGGUGAUGCCUUGGGAUGCAGGAUUAAAUGGCGCAACAGGAUUGCACAGCUAUAAUACUCAUAAUCUUUCAUCAUCUGGAAUGAUCCACACAAAAUACUUGCAGAAAAUUUAAGAUGGAAGAGACAACUUUCAACUGAGAGAUCAUGCAAGGUUUGUGGAAGAAAAGGCACUUCUGCUGAUCCUUGAAGGAAGAAGAAAGAUUUCAUAAAGUACCAUUUUCCAGUCAUAAGGCAUGGGCUGGGCUAAUGUAUAGAAAUGGUCCUAAAUGAUUCCAUUUUAGUUCAGAGUGAGAUCAGGGAAUAGCUAACAGUUCAUUUUGAAUGGAAUAUAAAGUUGCAAAGGUAAUUAGUGGGGCAUCAAUCUGGAAAAACAAGUUGGGGACAGAUUUUAGAGAACUUCAUAAUUGUAGAGAUCCUCAAAUGUCAGAUUAGGGAAUAUGUACUUUAUCCCACAACUAGGGAUGUUCCAGUAGAUGUUUAAUAAUCCACUCUCCAGAAAAAUAAAAAAGGGGAAAGGGAUGCAUAUAUAUCACAUUACAUUUAAUUUGCAUUAUUAACAUUUUCUCCAUCACUCUCUUAAGCCCAGUCAAUCAAUGAAAUAAUAAAUCAAGCUAUGAUCUAUAGUGGGUUUUUUUUUCAAAUUUUGUGUGGGGUCAGUUAAAUGCUCACACUGAAAAUUUAACAAUUGGCUCUUGGGAACCACAGGCUGGUUCAAGAUUUCUCUACCACAUUCCUAGUUAUAGGUUAUAGAUACAAUGGAAAGUUCUGGAGCAGUGAAGUUAUGAUUGACCUGAAUCAUAUUAGGACAACUAUUUUGGAAGAUGUAGAAGUGAUGAUUUGAGGAGAGAGAAGAUUGGAUGCAGAGUUUCCAGUUAAGAAGCUAUUAAAUAUACUUUCAAAAAGAUUAAUAAUAUAAAGAAAUAUACUGGGUGCCCCAAAUAGACAUUGGAUUUUUAAAAUAUUAAAGCUCAGUACUAAUUGAAUUAAUAUAGUUUUAUUAACUCUUAAAAGGCAUUUUUGGAGCACCCUGUUUAGGUGCUAAAUUUUAACAGUAUAGAAUUUUAGAAGAGGUAGAAGUUAUAGAAUCAUUGAUUUCAAACUCGAAGGAACUUUAAAAGUCAUCUAGUGCAAUUCACUCCUUUUGUAGAUGAGAACAUUGGGACCUAGAAAAAUAAUAGGUUUCAUCUAAAGUUGCUUCUAGUGAGUGACAAAGCCAGGAUUCAAAACAAGAUUUAAUAUCAUCAAAUCCAGCUCUCUUACCACUGUGCUAUGCUAAUCACUCCCCUUGUCUUGAAAGAGCAGAAAGAGAUCUUGGAAAAAAGGAUUCAGGUAAAUUUGAAACAUUAAAUGAAGGGGGAAGAAUAUGGGGCUAUUGCCCCCCCAUUCAGAAUUACUAAGGCCUUCUUAAUCAUCAUACUCAAUGUCCUUGUCUAUCUUUGCUUCCUCAGCUUCUCUGUAGUCUCUGACAUUUUUGAGCAUUACCUGUUUCUUAAAACUCUCUUUCCUUGGUUUCUCUAGAAAUGCAUCAUUUUGGUUCUCCCACCUCUAAGAUUCCUCUUUCUUUGUCUCAUUUUCUGGUUCUUUUCCCUCUGUCUAUUCCUAAAAGAGGGAAUUCUUCAAAAAGUUUCUCUCCAGAGUCUUUGACUGUUCUCAUUUGUUUCUAGGUACAAUCUCCCUUCAGGAUCUUGUAAGUUAUGUAGCUUUAAUUUUCCCUUUUAUGUGAAUUACUCAUAAAUCUACAUUCAAGUCCUGACCUCUUUCCUAACCUCUAUAUCCACAUUUCCAACUUGCUGCUAGACAGUUCCAUCCAGAAUUCUCUUAACAUCUCAAACUCAAGUUGUCCAUAUCCAAAUCCCACAGUUCCUUUUUGAAAUCAGCUCCUAUUCUGACUCUGUCUGUUCAUAGCCUCAGUUCUUUAUUUUAAAACUAUUAGUUUGUUUUUUACUUUAAAGUUCCAAGGUAUCUCCUUUCCUCCCUCCUCUCCUACACUAGAGAAGGCAGUAUUUGACACAAAGAUAUAUGUAUAUAUAAAACUUGCUUAUUUCUAUUUAUCAUUUCUUUUUCUAGAGGUGGACCAAGGACUAGCUCAAAUCUACCUUCAACAUACAUUCUUUUUCUCUGAUGCUCUGAAUUGAGAGAUGAAUUCUCCUUCACCAUACUUCAUAUAUUUUUUAUGGUACUUACCACUUCCCCCUCGCAUUAUAGGUGUGUAUGUUGCCAUUUUAGUACAGAUCUUACCCCUUCUUUCGACUACAUUAUAAGCUUUUUGAGAGGCAAUAUCAUGUCUUGCUUGUCUUUUUAUAUGGCAAGGACUUAGUCUAGUGCCCAGCAUAUUGUUGGCAUUUUUAAACUGUUCAAUUGAAUUGCGAUGAGCAGAAUUCUAGAGUUAAUUCACACGUAGAGAAGUUAAGUAGUUACUAGAUAGAGAAGACUUUUAUUUUUUAAAAUAAAUUCCGAUUGAUGGCUUUUAUUUUAAGAUCCCCUAUAUUUCCCAAAAUAUCUCUCCUCUUCUAAGCUAAAAAUCUUUUUUUUCCUGAGUUUUCAGAGUUUUUAACUCAGAAUUUUUUUCCAAAUUUCAGUUUUUAACUCUGAAAUUUUUACCAGUGUAAUAAGUAUAAUCAGAGGCACCCCACCUGUUUCCCUCUCUGAUUCUUGGUAAAGUAUACUCCAUGGUUGAAGGCUAGAAUUGGACCCCUUGUUUUAUCAUGAUAAAGAAUAAAAAAAAGAGGAGAAAAAAGAUUCCACAAAGCUAACAAAAACAUUAAAAGAGUUUGUUACUCUAUGUAGUGUUUCAUACCCACAGUCCUCCAGUUCUGGAAAAGUGUCAGGAUGGGUGAGAGAGAUGCCUGGAAGACCUAAUUUCACAGCCAAAGGUACCUUUGUCUCAUUUUCUGAUGGUAUGUCAGGUGGGAUAGAACCGGUGGUGUGUUGCCAACUUCAAAGUGAAGAGCUUGCUGAUUUUUCUCUCCCUCCUCCUUUUUCCUUCCUCUGAACCAGCAAGAAAUAGUAAGGAACCAGGUGACCCAAAGGGGGAAAAAAGAUCCCUGCAAAAGGAUUCAGAGAUUGCAUCCAGAACAAAAUUUUUCUCACAUAGAAUGUGGAACCAUAUAGCACAGUUUAGUUUGGUCAGAGAGGGUAUGAAUGUAAUUGUAGGGAUAACUUAAGAAGGUAUUCUCAAAUCCAAAAUCAAGGAUAACUUUUCUAAAGAGGAAAAAAUUUAGGUACCUGAGGAGAGUCUAAGAGGAGAGGCUUGUUGACAUUGCAGGAAUCAUAGCAUUAGAUCAGGAGUUUUAACUUUUUUUUGUCAUAGACCUCUUAGGCAGACUAGUGAAGCCCACGUAUGCCUUCUCAGAACAACGCUUUUAAGUUGUUAGUGGAAAUGUUAAAUUUCAGUUAGAGGCUACCAAAAAAUGAAGUCUUUUGGACCCCAUGAAAUCUAUCCCAGACUUUAGGUUAAGAAGCUCCAUAUUAGGUAAGUUUUGCAGCAAAUGCAUUACUCAAUCCUGUUGCUCAUAUGUUUUUUGAGUACAGAGUUUUUGAUUCUGAGUUUUAACCUCUAUAAUAGGAACAAUCAGAGGAUGCCUCUCUCCUUUCCCAUUCUGGGUCUAGUGCACCCUCUGGUUGUAGGCUAGAACUGUACCAAUUCCAGUUCCAUAUGUGUUAGGCUGUUCUUGAAUCUGGACACUUUCUAGUAACACCCAGUGUCAUAUAUGCUGUCCUUGGAGCUUGGCCCCUUUUACUGAACAUAUUUGCCCAGAUCUUGUCCUACAAGCCAUGUGGGUCCAAUGUAGGAGAAGUCCUGAGAUCUGGAGUUGCCAAGAGUGGCUAUCUAGGGAUCAUCAGGGUACCUCACUCAGUGCAGGCUACACUGUAGGAGAUAACGACUACUACAGCAUUUCUCAGAGAAGAUGACCACCUAAAACUGAAUAAGUCCAUCCUGUGGACUGGUUUGCCAAAGGACAUUGGCUUUAAGAGAUUGACAUUGAAAGAGAUGACAGUGACAUGCCUAUUCAACAAGAUAUCCUAAGGGCUUCGUGUCUUUAAUAUUUUGUUUCAGUUCCAUUGGAAAGCAUAAAAGGCAUUAUCCAUCAGUGUAUAAUUCUUUGUUUUCUUCAAUGAACACUUACAAGGCUUUUUGUUUUAAGUAUCUCUCUGUCUGUCUGUCUGUCUGUCUGUCUGUCUCUCUCUCUCUUUCUCUCUCAUACUUCUACUGUCCUUUUGGGAAUCCUAGAAGUGAGCCAAACAUUAGCUUUUAAAUGAUUCUUUCUAGUAUUUUGGGGUGGGGCAUGAAGAACCAGAGAGUUUGAGAAAUAGAGCCUAAUCUUUCACCUUAGGGGUCACGCUUCUCCCAGACUGAACUUGACCUGAGUGAGGAUUGAGAACUAAGGGGCACUUUAUAGUGAGAGAAAUAGUGCUCCUGCACCCCUGGGUGUAGCGGUGAUUCUGUAGGUUACACCAGAAUAAUCAAAUAUAUUUCUUCCUUAAUCUCUGAGUCCAAGUGAACUCUGUAUGGAUUCGAUCUGGAAAGUUGCAUUCAGAUUUCUCCUUUUCUAAAAUAGUUCUAAAAUAGUGUGUCUGCUUAUUGUUUAGUUGUAACUUAAGUUUUCAUGGUGACCUGACUUGACAUUUAAGGAAUGUUGGCACUGUAAGUAAAGCCACUUUUAAAACAUUUCCUGAAAAAGAAGAAAAGAAAUAUGGAUAGGCCAGUUACAGGAAAAAUUUAUGAACUAUGGGGUGGGAGGGCAGAGGGCAGGCAGAGUAUGAAAUGUGGAAUCAGUCAGAAAUAAUUUUGAGUCCAAAACUGAAUAAAACCAUCACCCAUUAGGGUCUUUAGAGCUUCAGCAUAGUGUCUUGUCAGGCACCACUGGGCUAUGGCCACAAAGGGGACACUUUUGUCAUUUUCUGCCCUUCUAGUUUUCCCUGUGGCCACUGUGCUGGGCUUGCCUGUCUUCUUAACUGAUGAACGAGGCUCCCCCAGCCUCUGAUUCCUGACCCCCACACCUUAGAUUCUUGCAGAACAGUUGUAUUUGAGGUUCUAGUCUAAGAGAUCUCCUUUAGCUGUGGAAGGUGACGUAAGAGAUUCUCAGAGGAUAAACAUAAAAAAAGAUAGAAAACAAGUAGUCUGUAAUCCAACCCAGAAAAGGCAAUGCUAAGCAAUGAACUCUCAGAGAAUGAUUUCACUGUCAAGAGACUGGGAUUCAAGCCUCACUAAUACAUUUACAAGACUACUCAUUAGCAAUUUUAUAUUUAUACAUACUCUA